UUUAAAGAGAGUUUGAUCCUGGCUCAGGACGAACGCUGGCGGCGUGCCUAAUACAUGCAAGUCGAACGAACGGAGGAAGAGCUUGCUCUUCCAAAGUUAGUGGCGGACGGGUGAGUAACACGUGGGCAACCUGCCUGUAAGUUGGGGAUAACUCCGGGAAACCGGGGCUAAUACCGAAUGAUAAAGUGUGGCGCAUGCCACGCUUUUGAAAGAUGGUUUCGGCUAUCGCUUACAGAUGGGCCCGCGGUGCAUUAGCUAGUUGGUAGGGUAAUGGCCUACCAAGGCAACGAUGCAUAGCCGACCUGAGAGGGUGAUCGGCCACACUGGGACUGAGACACGGCCCAGACUCCUACGGGAGGCAGCAGUAGGGAAUCUUCCGCAAUGGACGAAAGUCUGACGGAGCAACGCCGCGUGUAUGAAGAAGGUUUUCGGAUCGUAAAGUACUGUUGUUAGAGAAGAACAAGGAUAAGAGUAACUGCUUGUCCCUUGACGGUAUCUAACCAGAAAGCCACGGCUAACUACGUGCCAGCAGCCGCGGUAAUACGUAGGUGGCAAGCGUUGUCCGGAUUUAUUGGGCGUAAAGCGCGCGCAGGCGGUCUUUUAAGUCUGAUGUGAAAGCCCCCGGCUUAACCGGGGAGGGUCAUUGGAAACUGG
RNAcentral lists this ribosomal RNA (654 nucleotides) under Listeria monocytogenes. Its description in RNAcentral is "bacterial SSU rRNA". It matches the Rfam family "Bacterial small subunit ribosomal RNA", at positions 1 to 636 of the family's 1533-position model. Lineage: Bacteria; Bacillati; Bacillota; Bacilli; Caryophanales; Listeriaceae. The record is from RNAcentral.